AUUUGAUCCUCUGAAGCCUCUUAAAUGAUUUAGCUACAUAAGUUGUAGAAAGAUUCAACUGUUCUGAAGAAUUGUACUGGACUUUGUUAGUAACUUCUAACUCAUUAUCAAAACCAAUGAAUAAUAGAAUUUUAGAGCUGGAGAUGAACUGUUACAGUAAUCUAGUCCUAUUCUCUUAACAAUGGAAAAUUGUGAAAAUGUAUUUUAAAGUAGUUAAAUUACUAGCUCAAAGUUUCACAUCUAGCUAUAGUAGAUUCAUUCAGCGGCCAAACUAGUAACCUUUCCACUAAAAUUCAAGUUAUAAAUUUACACAAACUAGUCAAUAUUCAUGUUCAAUGUAUAAAUAGUUCUUGUUUGCUUAAGUCAUUUGUUAGUUCUAGGAAAUAAUCCUAAAAUGACUAGCUUGAUAUUUCACACCCAGCUAGAUGAUAUUACAUCACUAUAAAUAGAGACUUCUACAAUUAGGCCACUGCAAUUAAAUUAUUACAAUUAUGAAAUAUUAGCAAAAAUUUCAAUCUGUUUCCAUUCAUACAUUAUGUAGUUCUUACAUAUAUGAAUCAUUUGUAUUAUGGACUUGGUUUUUGUAGAAAUUAGUUGUCUAAUAAUUAAUUCUAAAAUACCAGAAUCAGACUAUGUGUGUACAGUUGAAAGCAAAAAAUAAAAAUAAAAUUAUGCUUAAUAAAAGUUAUCUAAGUAGAGAAUCAGAGCUUACUUCGGAACACCAUGAAGAAUAACACAAAUGUCUGGCCAUUUCUUUGUACGUAACCAGCAAGAAGAAUCAUCCACUCAAACAAGGCUAUGUGACAUGCCAUAGAGGUUUAAUGAGGCCAGCAUGUUUCCUGAAAACUUGUCUUGCAAAAGGUUUCCCUGUUUACAGUAUUUCUCUGCAUACUAAGGUAUUGCUCUGGCACAUUCAAAAGUGAACAAAGAGCUAGUUGUUAAUACAAAAAAAGCACCCCCCCUUUCCCAUGUUAUCUGAUACCUCGUGGCUAUAAGUGAUCUAAAGAUGUCUGGGUGCUGAAGCAAAUAAAUGGAAAGAAGCUGUUCUGACAUUUGUACUCAGACUUUUGAGUGGAAAGUUAAAUAAGUUCUGCUUCUUACAGCUUCUUAUAGAUAAGGAUCUGUAGUGGGCUCAUUUUCCCUUGGCCACUUUCCCACAUCCUAAUCCAGAUUUUGCUGUCAGGUAUAGUUACGCAUUUCCUUGACUCCUGAGACCAGCACUUGGGUGGGAUCUCUUCAUGGAUUUUAGAUACUGAAUCAUUUUUGUUGUUGUUGUAUGUAAAUGGGACCUGUGGAGAAUGAUGGUAAUCCUGGAGCUGCUUGGACUGAAAUAAGAAAGAGGCCAGCUCUUAAAAGCACUCAAGUGGCACAAAAGAAGAACAUAUGGGUAAGUGGUCUACAAAGGUGGUCAGCAAUAAUUUCUCCCAUCCUUGUUCAUUCAUGCAUGCCGUGACUUCUAUCAAGUAGUGAGGUAUAUGGCCCCAUUCCUUGAACUGAGGCUGGCUGUGUGAUUUACUUCAGUCAAAUAGAAUGGGCAGAAAGAAUGUUCUGGGACUUCUGAGCCCAGAACUUGAGAGCCCUUGGACAGUCCCCUUUUGCUGUCUUGAAACCCAUCUGCCAUUUGCAGAAGUCUGGCUCCCUAAAGGCUGAGACUCUAAAGCGGGGAGCGGGGCAUGGGGGGAGGGGGAAGAGAGACCAAGACUGUCCCAGUUACUUCAGCCAUCUCAAGUGAGGCCACAGACACAUCAGUGAAGCCAUCUUAGACUUGCUAGCAUAUUCCAGGUUCAGCUGAAGAACUUCCCAGAUGAACCCAGCCAACUUUAGGAAUCAUGAGAGGUAACAAAUCAUGGCUGUUUGAAGCUGCUAAAUUUGGG
RNAcentral lists this long non-coding RNA (1874 nucleotides) under Homo sapiens (human). RNAcentral describes it as "HSALNT0094262". Lineage: Eukaryota; Metazoa; Chordata; Mammalia; Primates; Hominidae. The record is from RNAcentral.